GUCCCAGUAGUUUAAACAACAAACACCGGUCUUGUAAACCAGAGAUAAACUUUUCGUUUCUAGGAUC
RNAcentral lists this transfer RNA (67 nucleotides) under Engaewa walpolea. Its description in RNAcentral is "tRNA-Thr". The record is from RNAcentral. Lineage: Eukaryota; Metazoa; Arthropoda; Malacostraca; Decapoda; Parastacidae.